AUUGAACGCUGGCGGCAUGCCUUACACAUGCAAGUCGAACGGCAGCGGGCCUUCGGGUGCCGGCGAGUGGCGAACGGGUGAGUAAUGCAUCGGAACGUGCCAUUGAGUGGGGGAUAACGUAGCGAAUGUUACGCUAAUACCGCAUAUUCUGUGAGCAGGAAAGCAGGGGACCGCAAGGCCUUGCGCUCUUUGAGCGGCCGAUGUCAGAUUAGCUAGUUGGUGAGGUAAAGGCUUACCAAGGCGACGAUCUGUAGCGGGUCUGAGAGGAUGAUCCGCCACACUGGAACUGAGACACGGUCCAGACUCCUACGGGAGGCAGCAGUGGGGAAUUUUGGACAAUGGGCGCAAGCCUGAUCCAGCCAUGCCGCGUGAGUGAAGAAGGCCUUCGGGUUGUAAGCUCUAUCGGCCGGG
RNAcentral lists this ribosomal RNA (411 nucleotides) under uncultured bacterium. RNAcentral describes it as "bacterial SSU rRNA". It matches the Rfam family "Bacterial small subunit ribosomal RNA", at positions 30 to 444 of the family's 1533-position model. The record is from RNAcentral.